GUGUCAGCCGCCGCGGUAAUACAGAGGGUGCAAGCGUUGUUCAGAAUCACUGGGCUUAAAGGGCGCGUAGGCGGAUCACCAAGUCCGGGGUGAAAGCCCCCAGCUUAACUGGGGAAGUGCCUUGGAUACUGGUUGUCUCGAGGGAGGUAGGGGCAGUGGGAACUUCCGGUGGAGCGGUGAAAUGCGUUGAUAUCGGAAGGAACGCCGGUGGCGAAAGCGCACUGCUGGACCUCUACUGACGCUGAGGCGCGAAAGCCAGGGGAGCAAACGGGAUUAGAUACCCUCGUAGUCC
RNAcentral lists this ribosomal RNA (292 nucleotides) under uncultured bacterium. RNAcentral describes it as "partial 16S ribosomal RNA". It matches the Rfam family "Bacterial small subunit ribosomal RNA", at positions 505 to 796 of the family's 1533-position model. The record is from RNAcentral.